Molecule: long non-coding RNA, 3201 nt
Filed under: Marmota monax (woodchuck)
Lineage: Eukaryota; Metazoa; Chordata; Mammalia; Rodentia; Sciuridae
Source: RNAcentral
UCAGUGGUACAGUCAGACCCUGCUGUCCACCCUCACCCUUCUCUCUGUGCAUCCUCCUUAAGCAGUCUCCUCAGUGCCCUGGGUUUUAUUGCUAUCCAAACGCCUAAAGAGGCACCUUUCAACUUUAGGGGCACCCCAUCUCCAGCGGCCUCCUGAGAAGCAUCCUCAAAUUCCACGCUGUGACUGAAGCCAGGUCUUUCUUCACUGUGCAGUUGAUACCCCAGGAUGCGAGUCAAGUGGCUUAACUAGCUCUCUCCUGCGCCUUCACGUGGCCAAGGCUGAUUCUGAAUCUGGAUGCCCUCAGACCUAAAUGUGGUACAGUGCCCUGGGGUCAGAACCCAGAACAGACAGAAAAACUAUUUACAGAAAUUUUAUAGGUUUAUUUGCUGCCCCCCCCCCCGCCCAUCCAAUCAAGCCUAACGCUUCCCAUGGUCUUAACUGUUUCAGCUUUGAAUUCUCCUAACAACAGGAUGUGGAAAUGUAAACUUGGUGCUGCGCAAGAGCUGCUUUUCCUCACUGUUCUGCCGGAGCCACCAGGCUCUGUCCUCCUCGCUCCAAGCACUCUCAUUGGCGUCCUCUCCCCCUUGCUCUGGCUGAUUUAUAGGGAACAAGGGGGCCCUGCCUUCCCAGCAGCAGACCCUGAGCCCUGGGCCCCACACCCCGCCCCCCUUCUCCCACCACAGGUCUUCUCCUGAGGUGGGACUGGAGCCCAGCCUCCCCCAGGAGCCAGCCAGUCACUUACCUUGGCCUCGGCCUCUGUGUGUCCCCAGCAGCCCUUCUCCACGGCUCACUCUUCACAUUUAGUCAUGCCUCGUUCACUCUCAGCUUUAAAAGAAAUUAUUUUUCUUUCCCAGUUGUUCUCAGCUCUGGCUUCUCAUUAAGACCACCUGGGAGAGUUUAAACAUGUUAUAGAGCCCACACUGUACCUCAUAACAGCUAAGUCACAAUUGCCAUGGGGAGGGACUAGGUGCCAAAAAAUUUUUCAUGCUCCCCAGGUGAUUCUAACUGCAGCCAGCAUUAAGAAACGAUGGUCUAAAUUAACCGUCCCUUUAGCUACCCCACCUGUCCUCCCUCAGGGUCAGACUUGACCGGCUGACUUCUUUCCCACUGCUCUGCCCCUCUGCCUCUGGAGUGCGCUGGCUCCUCAGCCCUCCAUGCCCCACCACCUCCCACUGCCUCAAAGUCCCAGAAGUUUUCAUUGGUAAGUCCCCCCCCCCACCUCCCACUGCCUCAACAUCCCAGAGGUUUUCAAUGGAAGUCCCCCUUUUAAGAUUACCUGAUCCCCUCCUCCCCCAGGGAUUGAACCCAGGGACACUUAAGCACUGAGCCAUAUCCCCAGCCCUAUUUUGUAUUUUAUUUAGAGACAGGGUCUUGCUGAGUUGCUCAGGGCCUCGCUAAGUUCCUGAGGCUGAUUUUGAACUCUGGAUCCUCCUGCUUCUGCCACCCCCGUCCCAGCCACUGGGAUUACAGGCAUGUGCCACCGCGCCUUGCUCAUUACCUGACUUGACUUGGCAGCACUGACCCUGCUGACCACCCUCACCCUUCUCUCUGUGCAUCCUCCUUAAGCAGUCUCCUCAGUGCUCUUGGUUUUAUGGCUAUCCAAAUGCCUAAAGAGGCACCUUUCAACUUUAGGGGCACCCCAUCUCCAGCGACCUCCUGAGCAGCACCCUCAAAUUCCACACUGUGACUAAAGCUAGGCCUUCCUUCGCUGUGCAGUUGAUACCCCAGGAUGUGAGUCAAGUGGCUUAACUAGCUCUCUCCUGCACCUUCACGUGGCCAAGGCGGAUUCUGAAUCUGGUUGCUCUCAGACCUAAAUGUGGUCUGAAAAUCUGAGCACUUUAAUUCUGUAAGGUAGACUGAAAUAAAUGGUCUUAAUGAAAAGUUCUGGUAAUACCUGUUACAAAUCUCUGUAUCUGUAGGUACCACGAGCAUACUAAAUAUCUGAAAAUGUGUUCGAACUUACUGCACAGUGCUUACCCUUAAACUCUACUUAUUUUCCCUUCCUAAAAAGAAUCAGGCAGCUGUUCAUCAAUUUAAGGAGGCCCACCCUUCAGCUCUCUGGUACCACAUCAGUCAGGAGCAACGUGGUCCGUAUGUGGUGGGAGACUUACAGAAAAAAAAAAAAACGAUCCUGGUGAUGAGACUGCUGGCUAAAAGUGUUUCCUUUCAGAUGUUUGUUUUCAAAAGGGGUCUUUUUUUUUUUCCCCAAAUUGAAGUUCUACAAGCAGUUUUUCUUGACUUUUACUAAACCACAGUUUCUGAAGUUCCAGUGACCAGUUCUGAGAGAGGCUGUUUUUUCCACAGGAUCUUUCUGUGGCUUUUAGGAGUUCUCAGGGCGAAUGGUCUGAGUACCAGUCCUGGCUCCUUUUCCUUUGGCCAUCUGCACAUUUUGCAUGCACAGGAGCUGUUGGCGUGUGUGUGUGCCCAACCCUUUGCAUCUGGAAGAGCAUGCUUUCCAAGGCAGGCCCAUUCAAGUUCUAAAGGAGAGGGUGAGCACUUGGAGGGGCUCCAGCCUCUCACUGCAGAUGGUGCUGCUGUGGCGGGGAGUGGGUGCCGUUCACAGCUCCUCAUUAGCUGGGUCUAUACCCCAUGGAACCCUUCCUGCUCUUAAAUGGACGACAUUGGCUCCGUGCAUUGAGUAUUCACGAGGAGCUUUCAUGUGGUACCAAGUGGUAAAUUCAUGAGGAAAACACAAAGCUAGUUUUAAUGAAUGCAAAAUAAUGUCUGCAUCCCUUUGCUUGCAACUUGAAGCAAAAAAUUACAUCUGAAGGCUAAAAGCAAUGCCAGUAUUUGAUAAUAAUGAAGAAUUAUCGUCAGGCUUUCUUACUUGCUGUGAAAGAGGGAACAAUAACAAUAGGCUGGUUACGAUCUUGGGGUGUCUCAAUCUUUUCCACUUAGCUCCACAAAAAGUCAACUGUCAAUGGGAAGUGAUGAUAUAUAUGGGUUACUGCCUGAGAAGGUUGCUAGAUGGAGAGGCAGUGUUUGAUCUAAGAAAGAAGAUUUCAAAGAGGCUGGAGUGGCUGGGGAGCAUUUGAAACGUUUCAUUUUGAAUUCAGGGUUUGGGUUUUAGUUUUGUUUUUGUUUUUGUACUAGGGACUGAACUCAGGGUCACUCAACCACUGAGCCACAUCCCCAGCCCUGUUUUGUAUUUUAUUUAGAGACAGGGUCUCACUGAGUUGCUCAGUGCCUCACCAUUGCUGA